RNAcentral lists this ribosomal RNA (253 nucleotides) under uncultured bacterium. Its description in RNAcentral is "partial 16S ribosomal RNA". It matches the Rfam family "Bacterial small subunit ribosomal RNA", at positions 524 to 776 of the family's 1533-position model. The record is from RNAcentral.
UACGAAGGGGGCGAGCGUUAUUCGGAAUCACUGGGCGUAAAGCGUGCGUAGGCUGUUCGGUACGUCAGGAGUGAAAGCCCAAGGCUCAACCUUGGAAGCGCUUUUGAAACUACCGGACUCGGAUUUGGGAGAGGAUAGCGGAAUUGUCAGUGUAGCAGUGAAAUGCGUAGAUAUUGACAGGAACACCAGUGGCGCAAGCGGCUAUCUGGACCAACAUCGACGCUGAGGCACGAAAGCGUGGGGAGCGAACAGG